Molecule: long non-coding RNA, 4210 nt
Filed under: Salmo salar (Atlantic salmon)
Lineage: Eukaryota; Metazoa; Chordata; Actinopteri; Salmoniformes; Salmonidae
Description: lncRNA (ENSSSAG00000085996.1)
Source: RNAcentral
ACCUUCCCCGACUUCACUCGCCGACUUUGGUCUACAGUUGACUUCAUUAGCCUUACUGCUCAAACACACCCGUUGACUUUUGUGCUUUUUUCCCAGGUCCAUCAACCCGACCCAGAAUUCCACAGGAGCCCACACAACCAGGGACUCCCUGGAGCAAUGGCUGCUCUUGCCCAGCAGCCUAAACAAGCACCUGUACCUGCCUGCUGCAGAGAUUCUUCUUCCUGGAAGGUGGCAGACAUCCCUACUGCCUGAGCAACAGGAGUUGGUGAGCCAGGCCCUGUUUCAGAGGGACAGUUCUGGAAACAUUGAGUUCAUUCUGAGACCAACCAAGAACUGCCACUAAUCUCACCUGCUCCCUUCUUUGCAACAUGUUUUUUCUUGUGGAUGCCCAAACGCAUGUGGCGAUUGAAGCUGUCAUGCCCCAGUGCCAAGGCCACCUGCUCUCAGACUGUGGGCUGUAUAAGACCGUGCAGAGGAUUCUGGACAUUGACGAGUGGUAUUACAUGGCCACAGAGUGCCUUGAAUGCAGUCAGUGUUAGAGGAAAGGGAAGGGUGGUUUCUGGAUGUGUUAAAUUAACUGCCUCCAGGUUGUCAUCUGUAGUUUGCAGCAAUCUUUACCUCCCGGUAAGUUUAUCCUUAUCUGGUCCAGAUGGCGAUCAACUAAGUAUCUAGAGAGAAGGAGGGGAAGAGAGAGGAUCCAUGGUCCAUAGACAGUGCCUCGUAGCACUACUACCUCAAAAUAGGACAGGAAAACAAGAAGAGCAAUAAAGACUUUCAUUGCAUCUUUACCCAUCUAAAGGUUUGACUUUUUCAAACCAGAGUUGACCAACCACAGACAGAAACCAACCAUAUAUCCAAUCAGAUCAAACCACAACCAAGUCCCCUCAAAGAGGGGUCAAACCUUACUGUGAUAAGUAGCCUAGGUGUACUGCUUGUAUGAAUUUGGGAUGUUUUUUGUUGUUUUAAUUUAACCUUUAUUUAACUUUAUUGGCUUGACGUCAUUUCCGGUCUCAACUUGUAGACUUCUUUAAGUGCUGCUGCACCCACGUGGGUGACUGAAAGACGAAUGAGGUCAGUGGCGGUAAUGCACCUAAUUUAUGAAAGUUGCCAAUCGCAAUGUAAAGUCAAGAGAAGAAAAAGCAUGGAAGGAAGAGAGAUGACUAGAAAUGAUUCGGUUGACCGUUUUAUGUGUGGAUUAAUUGGCGGAGUAGCGGACCUUGUGCUUUCAGCCCUAGGACCUGGCCUGAUGACUCCUUGCUGACCCCAGUUCACCGGACGUGCUACCUGUCCCAGACCUGCUGUUUUCAACUCUCUAGAGACAGCAGAUGCGGUAGAGAUACUCUGAAUGAUCAGCUAUGAAAAGCCAACUGACAUUUACUCCUGAAGUGCUGACCUGUUGCACCCUCUACAAACACUGUGAUUAUUAUUAUUUGACCCUGCUGGUCAUCUAUGAACAUUUGAACAUCUUGGCCAUGUUCUGUUAUAAUCUCCACCCGGCACAGCCAGAAGAGGACUGGCCACCCCUCAUAGCCUGGUUCCUCUCUAGGUUUCUUCCUAGGUUCUGGCCUUUCUUGGGAGUUUUUCCUAGCCACCAUGCUUCUACACCUGCAUUGCUUGCUGUUUGGGGUUUUAGGCUGGGUUUUUGUGCACUUUGUGACAUCAGCUGAUGUAAGAAGGGCUUUAUAAAUAAAUUUGAUUUGUUUGAACUAGGCAAGCCAGUUAAGAACAAAUACUUAUUUACAAUGACGGCCUAACCCGGACGACGCUGGGCCAAUUGUGCGCGCCCUAUGGGACUCCCAAUCACGGCCGGUUGUGAUACAGCCUGGAAUUGAACCAGGUCUGUAGUGACGCUCUAGCACUGAGAUGAGGUGCGUUCGAGCGCUGCGCCACUCGGGAACCCAAAAUCAAUUUAUAAUAUUGAUCCACAACUGUCAGUCUGUUUGGAACAGUGGCAUGUAUUUAUGGAUGCCAGGCUUCCCAAACAAAUUGACCAAGAAAUAAAUAACUAAAUGAAAUACUUUGUGUUUCAUAAGCUUCCUUCAGUUAGCAAGAGGCUGAAUGUAUAUACAAGGAGAAAGCAUUAGAGCGAGCGAAACAGCACCCUUCUUUGUCUCUAAGUGUAGCUCAUACUGUCUGGUUCAAACGAGUAUAGCAGUGUUGCCGCCCGUAACACUUAAGGCAAGGGAAGCCAGGUAGCAUUUGGCCUCCCUUGAUUAAAAAAAAGUUACAAAAAAUGGCCGAUCACCAUUGAGCUAAACUGAGCGACCUCAACUGUGAAUAGUCCUGGUGAAACCAGUUUGUAUUUUGGCAUCCCUCCUAUCAAAUUCCAUUGAGAGCAUACCUCCUUGACAGAGAGAACUUGAAUUGUUGCAUCUCGUUGUGUUGUCCUCCGGUGGCUAGCUAGCUAGAUAAAAUUGUCCCUUUCAUAAAUUAGCCAUGGAUGGAGAUAGGGAUGUGGUUUUACUUAAUUCUCCAUACUGAGAUUUUACCCACGCACCGCUACUGGUUUGGAAUAGGCUAUUUCUUUCUCAACAAGCUAACCAAUAGAAUAGAUAGCCUAAACUUUUCUUCUAUAGUAGAUUGACAUAGGCUAGUGAUUUUGCUAUUCGUUACUUGUAUUGUUGGCUGAGGAAAAGUACAUUUUUAUUGUUCAGAAAUGUGGUGGGUACUCUCUUCGUUCGCGGGACUUUAUCCUGCUAACUGUUCCAAAUGUCCGAACUGAAUUUGGUAAAAGGGCUUUUAUGUACUCUGCGCCAUCGUCUUGGAACGCCUUACAAAAUACUUUUAAACUGGAAGAACUUGUCCCGAUUUGGUAUUUUUAAAUCACUGAUGAAUGAUCUUGACUGAUUCCCUGACAUGUCAAUGUUUUUAAUUUGCUGUUUUUGAUUUUGUUAUACUCUUGUGAAUUCUAUGGUUUUUACUAGAUUACUUGUUGUUUGUCUGUAAUUUUUGUAAUGACUUGGUGCUGCCUAUCUUGGCCAGGACGCUCUUGAAAAAUAUAUUUUAAAUCUCAAUGAGCCCUUCCUGGUUAAAUAAAGGUUAAAUAAAAUGUGGACAGUUAUUCUAACAUGUGCAAAUCAUAAUUCGGUAAGAAGGACUGCACAUCAUUGCAUCCUUCACUCGCAUGUUCUAUUAAUAUGAAUUACCAUAUUCUAAAUGUUAUUUCUGUCAUUCUGAGCACCAUGGGUGGACACCCUAAUCAGGUUAUGCACUCAAUGAAUAUGGGUCUGGUAAAUUGCUCAAAUGUCUGGGAAAUUAAAAUGUUGAUGGUCAAAUGUCAGGUGCCACAUUUUCCUAACGGAAACCCUGUUUCCACGUCAUCUCCUGACAUCCUCAGACAUGGAUUGACGUCCAAUACUGACUUGUAUCAAGGGUGACCUGGCUGGUGAAUUGAGGGUAGGAAAGAGCUCAAACUUAGAUUUAAAAAAAAAAAAAGCAUGGACUGGGUCUCCCGAGUUGCACAGAAGUCUAAGGCACUGCAUUGCAGUGCUUGAGGGGUCACUACAGACCUGGGUUCAAUCCAGACUGUGUCACAACCAGAUGUGACCGGUUGUCCCAUAGGGCAGCUCACAAUUGGCCCAGCAUUGUCCAGGGUAGGGGAGGGUUUGUCCGGGGGGCUUUAAUUGGCUCAUCACGCUCUAGUGACUCCCUGUGGCGGGCCGGGCACCUACAGGCUGACUUCGUUAGUCAGUUGGACGGUGUUUCCUCCGACACAUUGGUGCAGCUGGCUUCUGGGUUAAGCAGGUGGGUGUUAAGAAGCGAGGUUAGACGGGUCAUGUUUCGGAGGACGCAUGACUCGACCUUCGCCUCUCGCGAGCCAGUUAGUGAGUUGCAGCGAUGAAACGAGAUCGCAAUUGGGGAGAAAAAGGGGGUAAAAAAAUAAAGAAUGGGCUUGCGGUCUGUUUCAACAUAACGUUUUUUAUAUAACAGCGUUUCCACACCUUCCCAUGACACAAGUUGUGUUGGGGAAAUAUUAUUAGUAUUUUAUUUUGUUAUAUUCCAUUAGGCCUAUAUUCUUACUACAAAAUAUGUGUGUUUACUGUGAUUGGGGUAGGUAUGUAUUUUCUGUUUAAUGAACAAAAUAAUGAACUAUUGAUUUCAUUUAUUUGGAGGUAACAUAGUUAAACUCCAAACAUGUCAUUCUAUUGUUAAGAAAAUAAAACAAAGGGAAAACACAUUUUUGACUGCACUGCCCCUUUUUUUUUUUUUU